GGGGAGCGUUCUGUAAGCCUGUGAAGGUGUGCUGUGAGGCAUGCUGGAGGUAUCAGAAGUGCGAAUGCUGACAUAAGUAACGAUAAAGCGGGUGAAAAGCCCGCUCGCCGGAAGACCAAGGGUUCCUGUCCAACGUUAAUCGGGGCAGGGUGAGUCGACCCCUAAGGCGAGGCCGAAAGGCGUAGUCGAUGGGAAACAGGUUAAUAUUCCUGUACUUGGUGUUACUGCGAAGGGGGGACGGAGAAGGCUAUGUUGGCCGGGCGACGGUUGUCCCGGUUUAAGCGUGUAGGCUGGUUUUCCAGGCAAAUCCGGAAAACUAAGGCUGAGGCGUGAUGACGAGGCACUACGGUGCUGAAGCAACAAAUGCCCUGCUUCCAGGAAAAGCCUCUAAGCAUCAGGUAACAUCAAAUCGUACCCCAAACCGACACAGGUGGUCAGGUAGAGAAUACCAAGGCGCUUGAGAGAACUCGGGUGAAGGAACUAGGCAAAAUGGUGCCGUAACUUCGGGAGAAGGCACGCUGAUAUGUAGGUGAAGUCCCUCGCGGAUGGAGCUGAAAUCAGUCGAAGAUACCAGCUGGCUGCAACUGUUUAUUAAAAACACAGCACUGUGCAAACACGAAAGUGGACGUAUACGGUGUGACGCCUGCCCGGUGCCGGAAGGUUAAUUGAUGGGGUCAGCGCAAGCGAAGCUCUUGAUCGAAGCCCCGGUAAACGGCGGCCGUAACUAUAACGGUCCUAAGGUAGCGAAAUUCCUUGUCGGGUAAGUUCCGACCUGCACGAAUGGCGUAAUGAUGGCCAGGCUGUCUCCACCCGAGACUCAGUGAAAUUGAACUCGCUGUGAAGAUGCAGUGUACCCGCGGCAAGACGGAAAGACCCCGUGAACCUUUACUAUAGCUUGACACUGAACAUUGAGCCUUGAUGUGUAGGAUAGGUGGGAGGCUUUGAAGUGUGGACGCCAGUCUGCAUGGAGCCGACCUUGAAAUACCACCCUUUAAUGUUUGAUGUUCUAACGUUGACCCGUAAUCCGGGUUGCGGACAGUGUCUGGUGGGUAGUUUGACUGGGGCGGUCUCCUCCUAAAGAGUAACGGAGGAGCACGAAGGUUGGCUAAUCCUGGUCGGACAUCAGGAGGUUAGUGCAAUGGCAUAAGCCAGCUUGACUGCGAGCGUGACGGCGCGAGCAGGUGCGAAAGCAGGUCAUAGUGAUCCGGUGGUUCUGAAUGGAAGGGCCAUCGCUCAACGGAUAAAAGGUACUCCGGGGAUAACAGGCUGAUACCGCCCAAGAGUUCAUAUCGACGGCGGUGUUUGGCACCUCGAUGUCGGCUCAUCACAUCCUGGGGCUGAAGUAGGUCCCAAGGGUAUGGCUGUUCGCCAUUUAAAGUGGUACGCGAGCUGGGUUUAGAACGUCGUGAGACAGUUCGGUCCCUAUCUGCCGUGGGCGCUGGAGAACUGAGGGGGGCUGCUCCUAGUACGAGAGGACCGGAGUGGACGCAUCACUGGUGUUCGGGUUGUCAUGCCAAUGGCACUGCCCGGUAGCUAAAUGCGGAAGAGAUAAGUGCUGAAAGCAUCUAAGCACGAAACUUGCCCCGAGAUGAGUUCUCCCUGACUCCUUGAGAGUCCUGAAGGAACGUUGAAG
This 1633-nucleotide ribosomal RNA is filed under the name Escherichia coli. RNAcentral's name for it is "partial 23S ribosomal RNA". It matches the Rfam family "Bacterial large subunit ribosomal RNA", at positions 1231 to 2843 of the family's 2925-position model. Lineage: Bacteria; Pseudomonadati; Pseudomonadota; Gammaproteobacteria; Enterobacterales; Enterobacteriaceae. The record is from RNAcentral.